GACGAACGCUGGCGGCGUGCCUAACACAUGCAAGUCAACUUGACUGAAGGAGCAAUCUGACAGUAGAGUGGCGCAAAGGGUGCGUAACGCGUAAGUAACUUGCCCCAAGGUAAGGAAUAACGUCGAGAAAUCGGCGCUAAUACCUCAUAAUGCAGCGGAUCCGCAUGGAUAUGUUGUUAAAGGUUUACCGCCUUGGGAUAGGCUUGCGUCUGAUUAGCUAGUUGGUGUGGUAACGGCACACCAAGGCUACGAUCAGUAACUGGUCUGAGAGGAUGAUCAGUCACACUGGAACUGAGACACGGUCCUGACUCCUACGGGAGGCAGCAGUGAGGAAUAUUGGGCAAUGCUCGAAAGAGUGACCCAGCAACGCCGCGUGGAGGAUGAAGGUAUUCAUAUCGUAAACUCCUAGUGAGAGCAGACGAAAGACAGAUAUAAUCUGGAUGACUGUAUGCUCAGAGGAAGCCCC
This 466-nucleotide ribosomal RNA is filed under the name uncultured bacterium. RNAcentral describes it as "bacterial SSU rRNA". It matches the Rfam family "Bacterial small subunit ribosomal RNA", at positions 28 to 494 of the family's 1533-position model. The record is from RNAcentral.